Molecule: ribosomal RNA, 492 nt
Filed under: uncultured bacterium
Lineage: Bacteria
Description: partial 16S ribosomal RNA
Rfam family: Bacterial small subunit ribosomal RNA
Source: RNAcentral
AGUGAACGCUGGCGGUAGGCCUAACACAUGCAAGUCGAACGGCAGCACAGUAAGAGCUUGCUCUUACGGUUGGCGAGUGGCGGACGGGUGAGGAAUACAUCGGAAUCUACUUUUUCGUGGGGGAUAACGUCGGGAAACUUACGCUAAUACCGCAUACGACCUACGGGUGAAAGCAGGGGAUCUUCGGACCUUGCGCGAUUGAAUGAGCCGAUGUCGGAUUAGCUAGUUGGCGGGGUAAAGGCCCACCAAGGCGACGAUCCGUAGCUGGUCUGAGAGGAUGAUCAGCCACACUGGAACUGAGACACGGUCCAGACUCCUACGGGAGGCAGCAGUGGGGAAUAUUGGACAAUGGGCGCAAGCCUGAUCCAGCCAUACCGCGUGGGUGAAGAAGGCCUUCGGGUUGUAAAGCCCUUUUGUUGGGAAAGAAAAGCAGCAGGUUAAUACCCCGCUGUUUUGACGGUACCCAAAGAAUAGGCACCGGCUAACUUCGUG